CUUAAGGCGUCUAAAGCGAACGCCUGAGAUUUUUUUUUUUUCUUCUUCACCAAAACGACGUCGUUUUGGUGGUUUUGAGAGUUAAAACUCCUUCAGGUCUCGAGCUGAAGUUAUUUUCGAUUCCUUCAGCCUCCUCCAUCAAAACUCCGACUCUUUCACUUCCAAAUCCCAAUUCCCAAGAAACAAAUUUGAUAAAAUCAUCAAGAGCCCAUGAGUUUUUUCAAGGAUUUAGCUCUAAAGGAGGCUUUUUUCGCACUUGGAGCAAGAUAUUUUCUCACUUGGAAUCGGAUUUGCAGCAAAGGAUUUAAGUAAUGUUCCUAGUAUGGCAGAUCGAACACCUUCAAGUAUAGUGAGGCUGGCUAGAGUACUCAUCACUGAUAAUUAGAUUCUGGGGCACAUGAUGUGGCUGCAUAGACAAGACUCCUAGGAGAAGUUUGAGGGAUCUCAGUGAAGCCAAUAACAAUGAUGCUGAUAAUCAGCUUUUAAGCUUUGAGCCAUUACCAUCAGAAUUGUAUGUAAACAAUUCUCAACUUCUGUUUUUUUCAGUCUGUGUGAUUGGUUUCUGAGUUUCAGUGUGUAAUUGGGAGGGAGUAGUCUGAUUUUGGUUGUCAAAUUUUAGUUUUUGGUUACAAUACAUGUUCUAUAUAUAAGACUAGUUAUAUACAUAAAUACAACUGAU
This is a long non-coding RNA of Rosa chinensis, 679 nucleotides long. RefSeq lists it as uncharacterized. Lineage: Eukaryota; Viridiplantae; Streptophyta; Magnoliopsida; Rosales; Rosaceae. The transcript is spliced from 3 exons. The record is from RefSeq and is a predicted model, not a curated record.